Cephalotus follicularis is the source of this 46-nucleotide non-coding RNA. The record is from Rfam. NCBI's taxonomy places the organism in Eukaryota, Viridiplantae, Streptophyta, Magnoliopsida, Oxalidales, Cephalotaceae.
ACAAUGGUUCCUUUAGGAACCAAAAUUUUCCUAAUUCUAAUUUUUG